Molecule: ribosomal RNA, 429 nt
Filed under: Chloroflexota bacterium
Lineage: Bacteria; Bacillati; Chloroflexota
Description: Chloroflexi bacterium partial 16S ribosomal RNA
Rfam family: Bacterial small subunit ribosomal RNA
Source: RNAcentral
UGGGGAAUAUUGCACAAUGGGCGCAAGCCUGAUGCAGCCAUGCCGCGUGUAUGAAGAAGGCCUUCGGGUUGUAAAGUACUUUCAGUCGGGAGGAAGGGAGUAAAGUUAAUACCUUUGCUCAUUGACGUUACCCGCAGAAGAAGCACCGGCUAACUCCGUGCCAGCAGCCGCGGUAAUACGGAGGGUGCAAGCGUUAAUCGGAAUUACUGGGCGUAAAGCGCACGCAGGCGGUUUGUUAAGUCAGAUGUGAAAUCCUCGGGCUCAACCUGGGAACUGCAUUCGAAACUGGCAGGCUAGAGUCUUGUAGAGGGGGGUAGAAUUCCAGGUGUAGCGGUGAAAUGCGUAGAGAUCUGGAGGAAUACCGGUGGCGAAGGCGGCCCCCUGGACAAAGACUGACGCUCAGGUGCGAAAGCGUGGGGAGCAAACAGG